Molecule: long non-coding RNA, 3625 nt
Organism: Brienomyrus brachyistius
Lineage: Eukaryota; Metazoa; Chordata; Actinopteri; Osteoglossiformes; Mormyridae
Exons: 2
Source: RefSeq, a predicted model, not a curated record
AAUGUCAUUAAAUGUUUAAUAGAAGCCUCCUUUCGUGGUGUAGCUUUAAAUCGGGUGCUAAUCAUGCUGCUCUCAAAAGCACCACAGGUAAUCCUAUAGUAUCAUAAGGGGUCUGAGACUGUCGCCCAUUAACCUGCAUUUAGAAGUGGGAUCUAUAAUCUCUCAGUGAAAUUUGUGUAAAGGGAGCAGCUAUCAGGGCCUGCAUCCAUCUGAAUAACUCGCUCAAUGGUACAACACCGGAACCUGGCGGGAACCACCUACAUUCCAACACAGAACAACAAGAGCUACUCCUUCUGCACAAAUAAAGAGUGACACAGGCAAACAUUUCAAACAGUCAUUACUUACCCAAUCUAUCCUGAAUCUAUAAGAAAAUAUACCAAGAAUAUUGGCCUCUAUAUGCAAUUAUAGUGUAAUUAUACUGUUAUGUGGUCAUUAAGAACAUUUUCCAUUUAACAGUACAAUUAACUGCUCUGGUGUUCUAUCGAUAUAUUUCCCCUCCAAGGAAAUGUUUUCCAAAAUGCUGAAGCACCAUUUGUCAUUUUUAGCUUCUCAUGUCCCAUUCUAUAGGUCCGAGGAGGAUCAGGACACAUCAAAAAUGAUAAGGACACUCAAAAAUUGUACAAUGAAGAAAGCUCACAGACACAAAUUAAAAAAAAAAGAAAAUUGUACUAUUGCUAAACCCAGAUGAAGACUGAGACAGCAUUUAUUUUGUGGUGACAUCAGUAGUUGUUUAGUCUUUUCAGGGACAUUGCAUUAAAAUUUGUUAUCACCAAGGAAACAUUUUCACAUAGAUGACCACACCUCUCACCUACCUAUACCUGACCAAUUGCAGCUGCAAGACGUGAAGCCAUAUUUAAAUGCUUAACGCAUGGUCCCACUGUCCCACUGUUCCUUAUGACUCCUCUUCUCUGAGGGGGACUACUCUUUGGUUUUAUGGUACUGCUGUAACCAUUGGAUGUAACUAGUGUCUCUUUGCAGUACAGCUCGGGUACAGGUCGGGUACAGCUCGGGUACAAGUCGACUCCUGCAUGCCAGUGGAAAAACACCAUAAUAAUAGCUUAUCUGCAAUGGAAGCGACAUCAGAAGAGAGAGAGAAACAUAGGAGGGGUGUAGAAGAGAAGGAUGUCAGGGGAUAAAGGAACGGGGAAGGACAGCAUCAUGGAGAGUGAUCUAGCCACAAAUUCCCAAAGGGCUGCAGCCAGAGGACAGAACACGUGAAGAAAGGUGGAAGGGACUUGAAGGGGACAGAGAUGACAGGGUGUGUCAGGCUCCAAACCCACGAGGAGGCGUUUCCUGGGAGUGGCUAAAGGGGACAGAGACGACAGAGUGUGUCAGGCUCCAAACCCACGAGGAGGCGUUUCCUGGGAGUGAGUGAAGGGGACAGAGACGACAGAGUGUGUCAGGCUCCAAACCCACGAGGAGGCGUUUCCUGGGAGUAGAUGAAGGGGACAGAGAUGACAGAGUGUGUCAGGCUCCAAACCCACGAGGAGGCGUUUCCUAGGAGUGGGUGAAGGGGACAGAGACGACAGAGUGUGUCAGGCUCCAAACCCACGAGGAGGCGUUUCCUGGGAGUAGAUGAAGGGGACAGAGAUGACAGAGUGUGUCAGGCUCCAAACCCACGAGGAGGCGUUUCCUAGGAGUGGGUGAAGGGGACAGAGACGACAGAGUGUGUCAGGCUCCAAACCCACGAGGAGGCGUUUCCUGGGAGUGGGUGAAGGGGACAGAGACGACAGAGUGUGUCAGGUUCCAAACCCACGAGAAGGCGUUUCCUGGGAGUGGCUGAAGGGGACAGAGAUGACAGAGUGUGUCAGGCUCCAAACCCACGAGGAGGCGUUUCCUAGGAGUGGGUGAAGGGGACAGAGACGAAAGAGUGUGUCAGGCUCCAAACCCACGAGGAGGCGUUUCCUAGGAGUGGGUGAAGGGGACAGAGACGACAGAGUGUGUCAGGCUCCAAACCCACGAGGAGGCGUUUCCUGGGAGUAGAUGAAGGGGACAGAGACGACAGAGUGUGUCAGGCUCCAAACCCACGAGGAGGCGUUUCCUAGGAGUGGGUGAAGGGGACAGAGACGACAGAGUGUGUCAGGCUCCAAACCCACGAGGAGGCGUUUCCUAGGAGUGGGUGAAGGGGACAGAGACGACAGAGUGUGUCAGGCUCCAAACCCUCGAGGAGGCGUUUCCUAGGAGUGGGUGAAAGGGACAGAGACGACAGAGUGUGUCAGGUUCCAAACCCACGAGGAGGCGUUUCCUAGGAGUGGGGUACAGUCUAUGGAUGAUUAUUAAUUGGGCCUUCUGGUGACUGGGAUUUUUGGAGUGUUUAAUAUUUUGAAAAAUGACAUUCCACGAUACCAUCGGUGUUGGGGAGUGUAAGAUCUCUCUUUUGUUACUCUCCUACCAUUUGGCCCGUUCUCCAGUUUCUGCUCUUGUUUAGCAUCCUGAUUCCUCUUUGCUGAUCACCUGACCUGCUUCACUUCCAUAACCCCAUCAGUAGCAGCCAUUGUAACUCGACCCUUAAGUCUGUCUAAGCCCUCCUGAGCUGCCUUAGGCCUGCAGCCCUGAAUGCUUGUGAUGUCGCAAUGCUGUGUAGCUGCUGCUCCUAUUCUGCUCACACUUGUACCUGGGCAUUCAUCAGAAGCUCAGCUUAGCCGCACUUAUGCCUGCUUGACUCCUCAGUGUUUCUAAUGUGCAAUUUGCCUCAGUUGUACAUCACUUUGGACCCUGAAGUUCAUCUUCUGAACAGGCCUGACGUGCAGAGCAGCAGCCACGUCACCGUGUGCAGCUUGGCCUGUGACCCUUCGUUUGUCUUUGCCUUUGCAGUUUUGCUGUGCUCUGCACCUUCUUAAUAAAGUUAUGUAUUCUUUGAGUAUUAGACUCAUUGUCAUGACAGGCAGAAAGUUAUGAAUUUCAAAUAAGCAGCAUUUUAGUGUUGAACAAUACCAAUAAUAUCGGAGCUGACAAACAGCACUAAUGCUAAGAAGGCCUGAGCCACACUAGGAAAAGCCGAUAAAGAAACACUACAAUUUGAAUAAUUCUGUUUGCUUGCAAUGAGUUUGAUGGUCUUUGCAGAGGAGUUCACUGUCGCACCGGGUGUUAGGGCUCCGCAUAAAUCCCUGCUGCACUAAUUAUGAUUCCCAAAGGCAUCUGACUAAUAAUUGGAAAGCCUACAGGCAUCCAGGAUGUGGUACUGACAGUGCUCUUCCAGGGUUUCCUAAAGUGAGAGGCUGCCUCUGACAUUAAUAAUGCAUUUACUGUCCAAAUGGUUCAGGCCGUAUCAACCGAUGCCCAGCGGAUUUUCCUAUGCAAAUCUGGCUAUGGCUGAUGGGAUAUUAUUAAUAGAGUCACGUGCUCUUUGUAUGUGUGAAAUAUGAACCUAAAAAACAAAUAUUGUUAUUUAUUUAUAACAAGAAUAUAUGUUCCAUGAUUGGCUAGUCUGAAGUGUUGUCAUGGAAACUGACCAAGAAUCACUGCAAUUGUGAUGAAAAACAGAUAUGACCAGGGCCUCCCAUAUAUAAGCUGGGAUAUUCUGUUCCAGUCCCAUAUAAAGACUGGAGCAUCCCGUUUCUGUCCUAUAUAAAGGCUGGGAUAUCCUGUUCCAGUCCCAUAUAAAGACUGGAGCAUCCCGUUUCUG